Molecule: ribosomal RNA, 463 nt
Filed under: uncultured bacterium Riz1047
Lineage: Bacteria
Description: bacterial SSU rRNA
Rfam family: Bacterial small subunit ribosomal RNA
Source: RNAcentral
AGAGUUUGAUCAUGGCUCAGAUUGACGCUGGCGGAAUGCUUNACACAUGCAAGUCGAACGGCAGCACGGGGGCAACCCUGGUGGCGAGUGGCGAACGGGUGAGUAAUACAUCGGAACGUGCCCAGUNGUGGGGGAUAANUACGCGAAAGCGUAGCUAAUACCGCAUACGAUNUACGGAUGAAAGCGGGGGAUCGCAAGACCUCGCGCGAUUGGAGCGGCCGAUGGCAGAUUAGGUAGUUGGUGGGGUAAAGGCUCACCAAGCCGUCGAUCUGUAGCUGGUCUGAGAGGACGACCAGCCACACUGGGAUUGGGACACGGCCCAGACUCCUACGGGAGGCAGCAGUGGGGAAUUUUGGACAAUGGGCGCAAGCCUGAUCCAGCCAUUCCGCGUGCAGGAUGAAGGCCCUCGGGUUGUAAACUGCUUUUGUACGGAACGAAAAAGCUCUUUCUAAUACNGAGAGUC